This 904-nucleotide ribosomal RNA is filed under the name Pestalotia subcuticularis. RNAcentral describes it as "LSU rRNA". It matches the Rfam family "Eukaryotic large subunit ribosomal RNA", at positions 38 to 966 of the family's 3401-position model. The record is from RNAcentral. Lineage: Eukaryota; Fungi; Ascomycota; Sordariomycetes; Amphisphaeriales; Amphisphaeriaceae.
GCAUAUCAAUAAGCGGAGGAAAAGAAACCAACAGGGAUUGCCUUAGUAACGGCGAGUGAAGCGGCAACAGCUCAAAUUUGAAAUCUGGCCCUUGGGUCCGAAUUGUAAUUUGUAGAGGAUGAUUUUGGUGCGGUAUCUUCCGAGUUCCUUGGAACAGGACGCCUUAGAGGGUGAGAGCCCCGUACGGUUGAAUGCCUAGCCUCUGUAAAUCUCCUUCGACGAGUCGAGUAGUUUGGGAAUGCUGCUCUAAAUGGGAGGUAAAUUUCUUCUAAAGCUAAAUAUUGGCCAGAGACCGAUAGCGCACAAGUAGAGUGAUCGAAAGAUGAAAAGCACUUUGAAAAGAGGGUUAAAUAGCACGUGAAAUUGUUGAAAGGGAAGGAUUUGUGACCAGACUUUUUCUGGGCGGAUCAUCCGGGGUUCUCUCCGGUGCACUUCGCCCAGUAAAGGCCAGCAUCGGUUUUCGGCGUGGGAUAAAAGCAGUAGGAAUGUGGCUCUCUACGGGGAGUGUUAUAGCCUAUUGUAUAAUACCGCGCUGGGGACCGAGGUUCGCGCUUCUGCAAGGAUGCUGGCGUAAUGGUUAUCAAUCACCCGUCUUGAAACACGGACCAAGGAGUCGAACAUUUGUGCGAGUGUUUGGGUGUUAAACCCUCACGCGUAAUGAAAGUGAACGGAGGUGAGAGCCCUUACGGGUGCAUCAUCGACCGAUCCUGAAGUUUUCGGAUGGAUUUGAGUAAGAGCAUAACUGUUCGGACCCGAAAGAUGGUGAACUAUGCGUGGAUAGGGUGAAGCCAGAGGAAACUCUGGUGGAGGCUCGCAGCGGUUCUGACGUGCAAAUCGAUCGUCAAAUCUGCGCAUGGGGGGCGAAAGACUAAUCGAACCAUCUAGUAGCUGGUUACCGCCGAAG